GGGUUGUGAGGUUAAGCGACUAAGCGUACACGGUGGAUGCCCUGGCAGUCAGAGGCGAUGAAGGACGUGCUAAUCUGCGAUAAGCGUCGGUAAGGUGAUAUGAACCGUUAUAACCGGCGAUUUCCGAAUGGGGAAACCCAGUGUGUUUCGACACACUAUCAUUAACUGAAUCCAUAGGUUAAUGAGGCGAACCGGGGGAACUGAAACAUCUAAGUACCCCGAGGAAAAGAAAUCAACCGAGAUUCCCCCAGUAGCGGCGAGCGAACGGGGAGCAGCCCAGAGCCUGAAUCAGUGUGUGUGUUAGUGGAAGCGUCUGGAAAGGCGCGCGAUACAGGGUGACAGCCCCGUACACAAAAAUGCACAUGCUGUGAGCUCGAUGAGUAGGGCGGGACACGUGGUAUCCUGUCUGAAUAUGGGGGGACCAUCCUCCAAGGCUAAAUACUCCUGACUGACCGAUAGUGAACCAGUACCGUGAGGGAAAGGCGAAAAGAACCCCGGCGAGGGGAGUGAAAAAGAACCUGAAACCGUGUACGUACAAGCAGUGGGAGCCUCUUUUAUGGGGUGACUGCGUACCUUUUGUAUAAUGGGUCAGCGACUUAUAUUCUGUAGCAAGGUUAACCGAAUAGGGGAGCCGAAGGGAAACCGAGUCUUAACUGGGCGUUAAGUUGCAGGGUAUAGACCCGAAACCCGGUGAUCUAGCCAUGGGCAGGUUGAAGGUUGGGUAACACUAACUGGAGGACCGAACCGACUAAUGUUGAAAAAUUAGCGGAUGACUUGUGGCUGGGGGUGAAAGGCCAAUCAAACCGGGAGAUAGCUGGUUCUCCCCGAAAGCUAUUUAGGUAGCGCCUCGUGAAUUCAUCUCCGGGGGUAGAGCACUGUUUCGGCAAGGGGGUCAUCCCGACUUACCAACCCGAUGCAAACUGCGAAUACCGGAGAAUGUUAUCACGGGAGACACACGGCGGGUGCUAACGUCCGUCGUGAAGAGGGAAACAACCCAGACCGCCAGCUAAGGUCCCAAAGUCAUGGUUAAGUGGGAAACGAUGUGGGAAGGCCCAGACAGCCAGGAUGUUGGCUUAGAAGCAGCCAUCAUUUAAAGAAAGCGUAAUAGCUCACUGGUCGAGUCGGCCUGCGCGGAAGAUGUAACGGGGCUAAACCAUGCACCGAAGCUGCGGCAGCGACGCUUAUGCGUUGUUGGGUAGGGGAGCGUUCUGUAAGCCUGUGAAGGUGUGCUGUGAGGCAUGCUGGAGGUAUCAGAAGUGCGAAUGCUGACAUAAGUAACGAUAAAGCGGGUGAAAAGCCCGCUCGCCGGAAGACCAAGGGUUCCUGUCCAACGUUAAUCGGGGCAGGGUGAGUCGACCCCUAAGGCGAGGCCGAAAGGCGUAGUCGAUGGGAAACAGGUUAAUAUUCCUGUACUUGGUGUUACUGCGAAGGGGGGACGGAGAAGGCUAUGUUGGCCGGGCGACGGUUGUCCCGGUUUAAGCGUGUAGGCUGGUUUUCCAGGCAAAUCCGGAAAAUCAAGGCUGAGGCGUGAUGACGAGGCACUACGGUGCUGAAGCAACAAAUGCCCUGCUUCCAGGAAAAGCCUCUAAGCAUCAGGUAACAUCAAAUCGUACCCCAAACCGACACAGGUGGUCAGGUAGAGAAUACCAAGGCGCUUGAGAGAACUCGGGUGAAGGAACUAGGCAAAAUGGUGCCGUAACUUCGGGAGAAGGCACGCUGAUAUGUAGGUGAAGUCCCUCGCGGAUGGAGCUGAAAUCAGUCGAAGAUACCAGCUGGCUGCAACUGUUUAUUAAAAACACAGCACUGUGCAAACACGAAAGUGGACGUAUACGGUGUGACGCCUGCCCGGUGCCGGAAGGUUAAUUGAUGGGGUCAGCGCAAGCGAAGCUCUUGAUCGAAGCCCCGGUAAACGGCGGCCGUAACUAUAACGGUCCUAAGGUAGCGAAAUUCCUUGUCGGGUAAGUUCCGACCUGCACGAAUGGCGUAAUGAUGGCCAGGCUGUCUCCACCCGAGACUCAGUGAAAUUGAACUCGCUGUGAAGAUGCAGUGUACCCGCGGCAAGACGGAAAGACCCCGUGAACCUUUACUAUAGCUUGACACUGAACAUUGAGCCUUGAUGUGUAGGAUAGGUGGGAGGCUUUGAAGUGUGGACGCCAGUCUGCAUGGAGCCGACCUUGAAAUACCACCCUUUAAUGUUUGAUGUUCUAACGUGGACCCGUGAUCCGGGUUGCGGACAGUGUCUGGUGGGUAGUUUGACUGGGGCGGUCUCCUCCUAAAGAGUAACGGAGGAGCACGAAGGUUGGCUAAUCCUGGUCGGACAUCAGGAGGUUAGUGCAAUGGCAUAAGCCAGCUUGACUGCGAGCGUGACGGCGCGAGCAGGUGCGAAAGCAGGUCAUAGUGAUCCGGUGGUUCUGAAUGGAAGGGCCAUCGCUCAACGGAUAAAAGGUACUCCGGGGAUAACAGGCUGAUACCGCCCAAGAGUUCAUAUCGACGGCGGUGUUUGGCACCUCGAUGUCGGCUCAUCACAUCCUGGGGCUGAAGUAGGUCCCAAGGGUAUGGCUGUUCGCCAUUUAAAGUGGUACGCGAGCUGGGUUUAGAACGUCGUGAGACAGUUCGGUCCCUAUCUGCCGUGGGCGCUGGAGAACUGAGGGGGGCUGCUCCUAGUACGAGAGGACCGGAGUGGACGCAUCACUGGUGUUCGGGUUGUCAUGCCAAUGGCACUGCCCGGUAGCUAAAUGCGGAAGAGAUAAGUGCUGAAAGCAUCUAAGCACGAAACUUGCCCCGAGAUGAGUUCUCCCUGACUCCUUGAGAGUCCUGAAGGAACGUUGAAGACGACGACGUUGAUAGGCCGGGUGUGUAAGCGCAGCGAUGCGUUGAGCUAACCGGUACUAAUGAACCGUGAGGCUUAACCUUACAACGCCGAAGGUGUUU
Molecule: ribosomal RNA, 2931 nt
Filed under: Salmonella sp. S13
Lineage: Bacteria; Pseudomonadati; Pseudomonadota; Gammaproteobacteria; Enterobacterales; Enterobacteriaceae
Description: 23S ribosomal RNA
Rfam family: Bacterial large subunit ribosomal RNA
Source: RNAcentral